Molecule: ribosomal RNA, 444 nt
Filed under: uncultured bacterium
Lineage: Bacteria
Description: bacterial SSU rRNA
Rfam family: Bacterial small subunit ribosomal RNA
Source: RNAcentral
GACGGGUGAGUAAUGCCUAGGAAUCUGCCUGGUAGUGGGGGACAACGGUUUCGAAAGGAACGCUCAAUACCGCAUACGUCCUACGGGAGAAAGCAGGGGACCUUCGGGCCUUGCGCUAUCAGAUGAGCCUAGGUCGGAUUAGCUAGUUGGUGGGGUAAUGGCUCACCAAGGCGACGAUCCGUAACUGGUCUGAGAGGAUGAUCAGUCACACUGGAACUGAGACACGGUCCAGACGCCUACGGGAGGCAGCAGUGGGGAAUAUUGGACAAUGGGCGAAAGCCUGAUCCAGCCAUGCUGCGUGUGUGAAGAAGGUCUUCGGAUUGUAAAGCACUUUAAGUUGGGAGGAAGGGCAGUAAGUUAAUACCGGGCUGUUUUGACGUUACCGACAGAAUAAGCACCGGCUAACUCUGUGCCAGCAGGCGGGGUAAAAUCACUAGUGAAUUC